This 279-nucleotide ribosomal RNA is filed under the name uncultured bacterium. Its description in RNAcentral is "partial 16S ribosomal RNA". It matches the Rfam family "Bacterial small subunit ribosomal RNA", at positions 506 to 784 of the family's 1533-position model. The record is from RNAcentral.
UGCCAGCAGCCGCGGUAAUACGGAGGGUGCAAGCGUUGUUCGGAAUUAUUGGGCGUAAAGCGCGUGUAGGCGGUUCGUUAAGUCUGAUGUGAAAGCCCGGGGCUCAACCCCGGAAGUGCAUUGGAACCUGGCGAACUUGAGUACGGGAGAGGAAAGUGGAAUUCCGAGUGUAGGGGUGACAGCCGUAGAUAUUCGGAGGAACACCAGUGGCGAAGGCGGCUUUCUGUACCGAUACUGACGCUGAGACGCGAACGCUUUGUGAGCAAACAGGCUUAGGUC